RNAcentral lists this ribosomal RNA (446 nucleotides) under uncultured bacterium. RNAcentral describes it as "partial 16S ribosomal RNA". It matches the Rfam family "Bacterial small subunit ribosomal RNA", at positions 330 to 792 of the family's 1533-position model. The record is from RNAcentral.
GCCAGACUCCUACGGGAGGCAGCAGUGGGGGAUAUUGCACAAUGGGGGGAACCCUGAUGCAGCGACGCCGCGUGGGUGAAGGAGUAUUUCGGUAUGUAAAGCCCUAUCGGCAGGGAAGAAGCAAGACGGUACCUGACUAAGAAGCCCCGGCUAACUACGUGCCAGCAGCCGCGGUAAUACGUAGGGGGCGAGCGUUAUCCGGAUUCACUGGGUGUAAAGGGAGCGUAGACGGCCAAGCAAGCCAGGGGUGAAAGCCCGGGGCCCAACCCUGGGACUGCUCUGGAAACUGUAAAGCUGGAGUGCGGGAGGGGCAGGCGGAAUUCCUGGUGUAGCGGUGAAAUGCGUAGAUAUCAGGAGGAACACCGGCGGCGAAGGCGGCCUGCUGGACCGUAACUGACGUUGAGGCUCGAAAGCGUGGGGAGCAAACAGGAUUAGAUACCCGUGUA